Molecule: non-coding RNA, 4900 nt
Organism: Meleagris gallopavo (turkey)
Lineage: Eukaryota; Metazoa; Chordata; Aves; Galliformes; Phasianidae
Source: RefSeq, a predicted model, not a curated record
AUAGAUCUGAUUUUGCACUUCCUUCUCCUGCUGCCUGUUUUUUCUGCUGCUAAGACAAUCAGCUGAAGGUCCAGAAAAUUAAUGAUUACAGUUAUUGUGGGACAAGAACAAGAACAAUGAUUCAUGAACACCAGGACAACAAACAACAAAAACAAACAAAAAAACAACCAUUAAUGCAUUCAUCUUUCCUGCAGCUAUCAGAUCCUGAUGAUCAGAGCUGAGUGAGCAGCAGAGAGAGUUACUCAAGCAGAGGCAGAGCCAGGUUCUGAACUGGCCCUGGAUGCAGAUGCUUCUUGGAGACUAGUGUGAAAAGGGCUGCCAACUUGUGUCCCCACCUCCACUUUUUCAGCACUACUAAGCAAGAACAGGAGCCCCCAGCAACAUCACUUUGGACAUCCACGCACAUGGACAGAACGUGGUGAAGGAGCCCUGGGGAGGGAGGAGAAUGGAGAAGACCUGCCCAAUGUUCCUCCACUUUCCCGUGCAGCUCAACUCUGUUUUUAAUAGCGAAGUACCUUCUCCCCUCUGUCCUCCUCCCUAACCCCCUAAAAGAAGAACAUUUUUCCUAGCUUCUCCAGACUUCACACUGUUGAAUGUUACUUGUGAUUCAUGCUGUUACCUUGUGCAGUACUCCAGGAAAAUAGACCAUGGACAGGCUCUGUCAGGAAGGGUUUUGUAAUGGAUGUGUCAUUUCUCUUGUAUCUAUAUUAAAGACAAAAUCCUGUGAUGGCUGAUGAAUUUGUAGACCCCAUCUCUCUGAAAUCACAUUAGCUGCUCAGAACAGGAAGGCUGCUUUUCUUUCAGGCAAUGAUGAUAACACUUUCCUGGAUGCAGGUCGAAAAAUAUUUACAUCAAUAUAAAUAAGCAGUGUGUAACUAUAAAUAAAGAACACAGGUAAUAAAAUGUUAUCAUUGAAGUUGAGAUUAAAAUUGAAUCCUGCCAAGCCCUAAACAUAGAUCAUGAUAGACAAAUCCAAUAUACCUUUUUUUUUUUUUUCGGUGGUGCUGUAAUUAUAGACUAGGUAAAGAAAAAAAGAUUAUACAGCAGACAUAAUUUGUAAUGAUUUCAGUAACAUUUCUGAGGUAAUGCCAUGAGAAGCAAUGACUACUUGUGCAUGCUUCUCCACAAGUGUACAUAUCCCCCCACCAAGACAUGCACUUGGAUUUCAACCAGAGCAUGCUGUGAGCUGGCUAGCUGCAGUCUGCUUGGCUGGGUCACCUCUGCCAGAGCUGUCCUUUCCCUGACACUGCAGCCUGAUGCCCUGACCAAUGGAAGCUCUUGCUGUAAGAUCCAAAGACAAAUGGAGAAGCAGUUCCCAAACCUGGAGAGAAGUCCUAUGUGACCAACAGUCAGGUGACAGCCCACAGAACGCGUCAACAUGGUGCUGUAGCAUGGGGUCAUCACUUGAUGGAGUGUUACCCACUGCCUACGCACCCCUCACCAUCGUGGCUCCCUAGGAGCAGCUAACAGAUGUUUUGGGGGUUUGUUAUUGGCACAGAUCCUGCUCUCCUUCUGACUAGGGGGGAUGGGUUCCUGGGUGGGUUCCCCUCCUUUCUAGCAGGGUGUUUAUCCAUACUGUAUCUAACUGCUGGCUGGAUAUCAGCUCUUCCCAGAGUCUUCUCCAGGCUGAACAGCCCCAGCUCUCUCAGCCUGUCCUCACAGGGGAGGUGCUCCAUCUCUUGGAUCAUUUUUCUGGCCUUCCAUUGGACGUGUUCCAACAGCUCCACAUCUCUCAUAGGAAGCAGCCACUUCGUGGCAAGGGCCUGGUCUUAGCCCUGUGUCCUCCACCGGAUGAGGUAGGAAAAGGUUUGCAUCCAUGAGCAGCAUGGUUUGGCAUGGAAAAGCACAGAUGGGCUCAGAAACAGUCUCCAAGCUGCUCUUGACAAGGUAGGAGGCAUUCCUUUUAAGUUAACCAGGAAUGGAGGCUCACACUGACUCUCUGGAAAUCAAGGCUUGAGGCCAAAAGCAAACUCUGGUAUCUCAACAGAUGAAAAUAGAGCUUUAAAAAAUAAGAACAUGUCACAGAAUUAAAUGAGAACCACAAAUUUAGCAAGUCUGGUGACUUCCCAAGAGAAGUUGAGGAGAAACGUAGAGAAAACACUUCUUUUUGAGACACAGUGAAAUGAAUUACUAGUCCCUUCUGUAAAAUCUGUUUAAGUCUUGACUGUUGGAUAUUUACUUUCAAAGAAGUCAGCUUCCACUGCAGUCUGCUGAAGAGCCCUAACUUGACUGUGCAGAUGCAAUUACUGAAAAUGAAUCUGUCAGAGAAAUAUCAUGUAAACAAGGAGUUCUGCUUGGGCUCUCCUCCUGAAGCCAUCUUUGCCUCAGGGAUAACCUAAGCCAAUGCUUCGCAAACCCAGUGGGAACAAGCAACACAGGCACAAGGCAGACUGUCUAAGAAGGUUAGUAAAACUUCAAAGUGUUAGCCAUGAGCUGGUAAUUGGUACCUGGGAGCCAGCCAUCCACAGGGAACAUCAAACAGAGUUAUUUUUGGCUCUCCACAAAAAAAUGUCAGGAUAAUUUUAUUUGGGUUCCAUUUCAGAACACCAGCAGCCCCUGAUGGACAACAAACUCCUGGUGCUUCUGCACCUUGAUGCACUCAUGGGUGUUUAUUUUGACAGGGGGUUGACAGCAUUUCAGUGCAUAGUGCAUCACAAGUGAUUUGUAAGGUGAGUUCAGCCUGAUAGUGGGUUCCUCUGAGCCCAGCCCAGUGCAUUGGGUUUCAGAGCAACAAGAUCCCUCUGCCACUAACUAGACCUCUCUGCAAUUGUGCCUUUCUUCUCAUAAUAGAGAACUUAUCCCCCACAGUUCAUCCUUUCUCUUUGAUCUGCGCAUGUUUCUGUAGGCAAUUACACAUUAAUAUAUCAAAGGCUAUUGACAAUGCCAAGAAAUGGGUAUGCUAACAUUCUUGUUUAAUCAUACAUGGGUUUGGGUGUUAUUUGUUUUGUUUUGUGUGUGUGGCAUGUUUUGUUUUGUUUUAGUAAGAUUGACAGCAGAAUCUUGCAGUUAGAAGCCAGGCACUGGAACACGAGGUCAUUUUGAUUUCUAUGAGAUGAGAGUUACAGCUGGAAUUCUGGAUUCGGUUUCCACCUCUUCUCCAUACCUUCGCUGUGCUUUUAGCACAGUGUGGCCAGGUACCCAGGUGCCUAAAUUCCAUAGCCUGAAAAUUUUGCUCAAGGGACUGCUGUUCACCAAGACUGCAGCAUAUGUUUCCUUCAGCCCUUGUUCUGCACAGCAAAAGCACAUGGGAGCUCACUGAACCAUAGCACAUGAUUAACUUCAGGCACAUGUUUCAGAGCUUUCCUGAAAAAGGAUGAGUUGUUACUCAGAGCAACCGCUUUCUCACUGUUCCUUCUGUGAAACGGGCAGAAAAUGGGCAGGUAUUGCCUUUCUACCACCUCUAACUGAAACACUCUGCAUACUUUUGCUUCCCAAAGUUUGCAUGGCUCAAAUAAAAAUGCUUACUUGAAAGUUCAGGCUUGUCAAUGAUUUCUGACUGUUUUUUAAAGAAGGUAAUGGUGUUUGUUUCUUUUACUUUUCCAUGAUCAUUCAAGUGUUGGUAAGGGCAAAUUUUGAGCACAAGUUUUAUAUUUCUCGGGAAAUGAACAUAUUUCACUUGCUUUUCUAAAAAUAUCAUACUUUCAACUUUCAGUUGUUUAUCCAAAUAUUCCUAUUCCCCACUGUAUUCUGAACAUUUGAUCUAUGUGAGGCAAUGCUCUGUUUAACCUUGCUUGUACUGAAAGCAAUAAAAUAUAAAAUGAAUAGGUGGAAAGGGAUAGUAAAUCCCUACUGAGAAAUUAUCUGGCAGUUUCUGAGUCAUGGGAAGAUAUCAACAAAGUGAAAUUUAUUUAAUAUUGAUGAAUGGGACAGUAAUGCACCUAGGGAGAAAUAACAGCAAUCAACACAGAUAUUUAGGAGACAUUAAUAUAGAAAAAGACCUUGGGGUUGAAGCGGAUAAUGAAGUGCAUAAGAGCUCACAUUGCAAAACAAGCAAUUGGUGUUCCAGAGUGUGCAGUGUCAAAAGAGAUCUGCCAUGCAGCAAAGUGAGGGAUAACUGCGGUAUCACUCAGCCUGGGUAAGACUGGAGCUGGAGUGGGGUAUGAAUUUUUCAGCCUCCUUUUUUUAAGAAGACACAGGAAAGUGGAAGAGAAGUAAAAGACGGGUAGCAGAAAUGACAAAGAGAGCUGCGGGCAUUGCGUGUGAAGGCGCAACGGAAAGUAAUUCAUUUGGCAGGAGGGAGCAGCGCCAGCCCUCCUGUCUGCGUGCUGUGUGAAUGGACUUUCCCUGCAGCAGCAAUGGUAAAAGGGUCUCAAAUUAAAAAUGGAACAACUCCAUUUAGAUACAAGAGAAAUGACUUAAUACUAAGGACUGUUACACGGGCAAUGGAGUAAGCUGGCUGGUGAGCAGCUGAACACGAGGCACUGUCAAUAGAAGGUUUCUGGGGUGAGACUGGAAAAAGUGCCAGUGGGAUUACAGCAGAAGAGGCUUCUCAGCAUGAGCAUGGCUAACACAAAGGUCCUUUGCUGUCAUUUUCAUCGACACUUCUGGGAUCUCAAAGGAUGUACACAAUAAAAGAGACGACGUCCAUUUUUUUUAAUGAAAUCCAUCUGCCACGCUCAGUAAGACUACACGGUGACUGGGACGAGAGGUGCAGCCAUACAAGACUCACCCCUGUAUCCCAUCUGCUUUCCAAGCAUUCACAGGAGUGGGCCCAGGAGCUGAAGAUGCUGCAGAGGUGGGUUAUAGCCAUGUGCAUUUUCAAAGAAGUUGGCACAGCUCCUGCCCAUUUUGAAACAUUUGCUUCUGGAAUUUGUAAUGCUUGUACCAGUUAAAUACUAGAUUAUCAUAAGUGUAAUUUACAUGUUUCCCAAGUAAGGGAAUGCGAGUGGAGAAGAGAAUU